AUGGAAUCUAUGAUGUGAUCAAGUAAAUAAGAAUUGUGAAACAGAAAAUAUAGUAGUUGCUGAGAGCUAUAUCACCGCUUCUUAUUGAAACCUACCACGGAGAUGCAAGUAUGUCUUGCCGAGUACGUUCUCGUUACAAACGUUUAGAGGGUUAAAAAAUUUUAUUUUAACUGAACUAAGGUGGUACCACGUCAAUUAUGCGCUAAGACGUCCUUAAU
RNAcentral lists this non-coding RNA (218 nucleotides) under Ureibacillus massiliensis. Its description in RNAcentral is "Lysinibacillus massiliensis T-box sequence". It matches the Rfam family "T-box leader". From Rfam's summary of the family: Uncharged tRNA acts as the effector for transcription antitermination of genes in the T-box leader family. T-boxes are found upstream of many aminoacyl-tRNA synthetase genes and some amino acid biosynthetic genes usually in Gram-positive bacteria. The record is from RNAcentral. Lineage: Bacteria; Bacillati; Bacillota; Bacilli; Caryophanales; Caryophanaceae.